CACUAUGCUCAGCCCUAAACAUCGAUAGCAAAUUCACCGAUCCUAUCCGCCCGGGAACUACGAGCGCAAGCUUAGAACCCAAAGGACUUGGCGGUGCUUCACAUCUCUCUAGAGGAGCCUGUCCUAGAACCGAUAAUCCCCGUUCAACCUCACCCCUCCUCGACUUUCCAGCCUAUAUACCGCCGUCGUAAGCUUACCCUGUGAAGGCCUAGUAGUAAGCCCGUCCAUUCAACUUCCUAACGUCAGGUCGAGGUGUAGCUUAUGAAGGGGAAUGAGAUGGGCUACAUUUACUAACUUUAGUACACACGGAUGGCCUACCUGAAAAUGGUUAGCCUGAAGGAGGAUUUAGCAGUAAGCUUAGAAGCAACGCAUCUAGCUGAAUUCUGGCUCUGAAGCAUGUACACACCGCCCGUCACUCUCUCCAAAAAUACUUUCCCACCCUGAAUAAAGUUCCGCUACAAAUAAAGGGGAGGCAAGUCGUAA
RNAcentral lists this ribosomal RNA (483 nucleotides) under Parapercis cylindrica (cylindrical sandperch). RNAcentral's name for it is "partial small subunit ribosomal RNA". It matches the Rfam family "Bacterial small subunit ribosomal RNA", at positions 788 to 1491 of the family's 1533-position model. The record is from RNAcentral. Lineage: Eukaryota; Metazoa; Chordata; Actinopteri; Uranoscopiformes; Pinguipedidae.